This 1204-nucleotide long non-coding RNA is filed under the name Nicotiana benthamiana. Its description in RNAcentral is "long non-coding RNA (NBEN_LNC017758)". The record is from RNAcentral. Lineage: Eukaryota; Viridiplantae; Streptophyta; Magnoliopsida; Solanales; Solanaceae.
ACUUCACAAACUUUCUAGCAAUAUCUCCCGAGAGUAUUUUUUCUCUAACAAACUGACUGUCAAUCUCAAUGUGUUCAGUUCUCUCAUAGAACAUUGGAUUUGGCGUAAUAUGAAAAGCAACUUGAUUAUCACACACAAAUCUCAUCUGACUAAUCUCACCAAAUUUCAACUCCUUGAGCAACUGUUUGAUCCAACUUAACUGACAUGUCGCCAUAGCCAUUGCUCGAUAUUCUGCUUCUACACUAGACCGAGCAACCACAUUCUGUUUCUUUUCCAAGACAUAAAAUUUUCUCCGACUAAGACACAAUAUCCAGACGUAGAAUGUCUAUCAGCAUCUGAGUAUCCAACGAUCUGCUCAUGGCCUUGAUCUUCAAACAAUAAACCUUUGCCUGGAGCUGAUUUUAUAUAUCGAAAAAUGCGAACAACUGCAUCCCAAUGAUUAUCAUAGGAAGAAUUCAUAAACUGAGUCACAAUACUCACAGGAAAGGAAAUGUCAGGUUUAGUCCCUGUCUUUGCAAAAGUUUAGAAUUCGGAUCCAUCAGAGUGUCAACAGGUCUACAACCUGUCAUUCCUGUCUCCUCAAGAAUAUCUAAGGCGAACUUUCAUUGUACAAUACCUGAGCUAGACUGAGCGACCUCGAUACCCAAAAAAUACUUUAGUUUGCCCAGAUCCUUAGUCUAUAAGAAUAUCUAGGGCAUACUUAUGUUGUGAGAUCAUAAUACCUGAGUUAGACUGAGCGACCUCCAUACCCAAAAAUACUUUAAUCUGCCCAAAUCCUUAGUCUGAAAGUAUUGAAAGAUAUGUUGCUUCAACUUACUAAUAACAUCCUGAUCAUUGCCUGUAAUAACAAUAUCGUCAGCAUAAACGAUCGGAUAAAUACAGAGAUUUGAAGCAGAAUGCCGCUAAAACACAAAGUGAUCAGCUUCACUACAAAUCAUGCCAAACUCUUGAAUAAAUGUGCUGAACAUACCAAACCAGGCUCGAGUAGACUGCCUUAGAUCAUAGAGAGACUGGCGCAACCGACAUAUAAGGCCACUAGACUCCCCCUAGCAAAAACCUCAUCCUCGAGGCUACCACGAAGAAAAGCAUUCUUAAUGUCUAACUGAUAGAGAGGCCAAUGGCGAACAACAACCAUGGAUAGAAAAAGGCGCACUGAUGCUAUUUUAGCCACGUGAGAGAAAGUAUCACUGUAAUCGAGUCCAAA